AAAAAUUUAGUUAAAUAUUAUAACAUCAACUUGUCAAGUUGAAAUUAUCUAGUGAUAAUUUUUA
This 64-nucleotide transfer RNA is filed under the name Blepharida rhois. Its description in RNAcentral is "tRNA-Asp". It matches the Rfam family "tRNA". Rfam says of the family: Transfer RNA (tRNA) molecules are approximately 80 nucleotides in length. Their secondary structure includes four short double-helical elements and three loops (D, anti-codon, and T loops). The record is from RNAcentral. Lineage: Eukaryota; Metazoa; Arthropoda; Insecta; Coleoptera; Chrysomelidae.